GAUGAACGCUGGCGGCGUGCUUAACACAUGCAAGUCGAACGAUGAAGCCCAGCUUGCUGGGUGGAUUAGUGGCGAACGGGUGAGUAACACGUGAGUAACCUGCCCUUAACUCUGGGAUAAGCCUGGGAAACUGGGUCUAAUACCGGAUAGGAGCGCCUACCGCAUGGUGGGUGUUGGAAAGAUUUAUCGGUUUUGGAUGGACUCGCGGCCUAUCCGCUUGUUGGUGAGGUAAUGGCUCACCAAGGCGACGCCGGGUAGCCGGCCUGAGAGGGUGACCGGCCACACGGGGACUGAGACACGGCCCAGAAUCCUACGGGAGGCAGCAGGGGGGAAUAUUGCACAAUGGGCGCAAGCCUGAUGCAGCGACGCCGCGUGAGGGAUGACGGCCUUCGGGUUGUAAACCUCUUUCAGUAGGGAAGAAGCGAAAGUGACGGUACCUGCAGAAGAAGCACCGGCUAACUACGUG
RNAcentral lists this ribosomal RNA (466 nucleotides) under uncultured bacterium. RNAcentral's name for it is "partial 16S ribosomal RNA". It matches the Rfam family "Bacterial small subunit ribosomal RNA", at positions 28 to 507 of the family's 1533-position model. The record is from RNAcentral.